CCUACGGGAGGCAGCAGUGGGGAAUAUUGGACAAUGGGCGAAAGCCUGAUCCAGCCAUGCCGCGUGUGUGAAGAAGGCCUUCGGGUUGUAAAGCACUUUCAGUGGGGAAGAAAGCCUUGGGGCUAAUACCCUCGAGGAAGGACAUCACCCACAGAAGAAGCACCGGCUAACUCCGUGCCAGCAGCCGCGGUAAUACGGAGGGUGCGAGCGUUAAUCGGAAUUACUGGGCGUAAAGCGCGCGUAGGCGGUCUGAUAAGCCGGUUGUGAAAGCCCCGGGCUCAACCUGGGAACGGCAUCCGGAACUGUCAGGCUAGAGUGCCGGAGAGGAAGGUAGAAUUCCCGGUGUAGCGGUGAAAUGCGUAGAGAUCGGGAGGAAUACCCGUGGCGAAGGCGGCCGUCUGGACUGACACUGACGCUGAGGUGCGAAAGCGUGGGUAGCAAACAGGAUUAGAUACCCUAGUAGUC
This 465-nucleotide ribosomal RNA is filed under the name Vreelandella stevensii. Its description in RNAcentral is "partial 16S ribosomal RNA". It matches the Rfam family "Bacterial small subunit ribosomal RNA", at positions 338 to 795 of the family's 1533-position model. Lineage: Bacteria; Pseudomonadati; Pseudomonadota; Gammaproteobacteria; Oceanospirillales; Halomonadaceae. The record is from RNAcentral.